Long non-coding RNA from Aedes aegypti (yellow fever mosquito), 964 nucleotides. RefSeq lists it as uncharacterized. NCBI's taxonomy places the organism in Eukaryota, Metazoa, Arthropoda, Insecta, Diptera, Culicidae. The record is from RefSeq and is a predicted model, not a curated record. The transcript has 3 exons.
AUCAAUUUCAAAGAGUGCGCGAAACGUUAUGAAACAUUGAAGGACGUUUGCUCUCUCUCGCAUUGACUGCGGCCAUUCGUUCGUCCUUAGCUCUACCUUACACCCUUGGCUAGUUAAUCUCAAUAAAAAAAUCUGUGUACUCAGCCAAUCUCGAUGAAAAAUGCCGAUAUUUAGCUAAACAAAAAUUGAAGACGCUGGAACUGGGCACAGACAGUCAAGACUUUCUACCGUGAACAUUACCAUUCGACUUUCAGCAUUUACUGAAAUGCGCCUUUACAUAAUCAAAAUUUCAUCCUCAACAACCAACGUCCACUCAAUGUAGCUCAUCAACCUGCUACGGUUGAUUCCAAGGUAUAUUGAAAGUACAGGUACAGCAAUCUAAGCAGGGCCCGGUAAACCGAGAGGGGGUAAAAAGUGACAGCUGGCGAGUCGGUGGGCUGGUCGACAUGUUUGUGUAUUUUGCCCUCCAAGAGUUUCCAACGUAUCCAUAGAGCUGUUAACGUUAUUGAAAAUUAUUGCGUAUGACUUGGCAAAAUGCCAUCGUUUUGUGCCCAUUUCGGAAAUAUGGAUGUGAAAACCAAACUCCGUACUGUGGUGUUUAACGUUAGUUUUACUUAAACAAUUUCCGCAACUCUGGAAGAUUCCGCACACGGAUGUUUGGUAGCCGGGGGAAACACGUCAUUCAGGGCUCUUAUUAUCGGCAUUCUGGAAUCACCCUCAAUGGAACCUGAAUGGACAUGCACUUAUUGCUAGAAAAAAAGAAUAUCGAACGGGUGAAUAGAGCCAUUACAAGAGCAGGACGAACGACGCAAGAAAUGUAGUGGUUUAGUUUAAAAAAGAUGAUGUAAGUGAUGGAUGUUGUUGAAAAUGAAUAAAUAAGGGAAGUGAAAAGGAGUUUUUUAGAAAAAAAAAAAAAAGUAUGUGUGUCAUCCAGAAUCAAUGCUAUAAUGCACUUCGCCGUAUC